RNAcentral lists this ribosomal RNA (711 nucleotides) under Pseudomonas aeruginosa. RNAcentral's name for it is "bacterial SSU rRNA". It matches the Rfam family "Bacterial small subunit ribosomal RNA", at positions 62 to 768 of the family's 1533-position model. The record is from RNAcentral. Lineage: Bacteria; Pseudomonadati; Pseudomonadota; Gammaproteobacteria; Pseudomonadales; Pseudomonadaceae.
UCGAGCGGAUGAAGGGAGCUUGCUCCUGGAUUCAGCGGCGGACGGGUGAGUAAUGCCUAGGAAUCUGCCUGGUAGUGGGGGAUAACGUCCGGAAACGGGCGCUAAUACCGCAUACGUCCUGAGGGAGAAAGUGGGGGAUCUUCGGACCUCACGCUAUCAGAUGAGCCUAGGUCGGAUUAGCUAGUUGGUGGGGUAAAGGCCUACCAAGGCGACGAUCCGUAACUGGUCUGAGAGGAUGAUCAGUCACACUGGAACUGAGACACGGUCCAGACUCCUACGGGAGGCAGCAGUGGGGAAUAUUGGACAAUGGGCGAAAGCCUGAUCCAGCCAUGCCGCGUGUGUGAAGAAGGUCUUCGGAUUGUAAAGCACUUUAAGUUGGGAGGAAGGGCAGUAAGUUAAUACCUUGCUGUUUUGACGUUACCAACAGAAUAAGCACCGGCUAACUUCGUGCCAGCAGCCGCGGUAAUACGAAGGGUGCAAGCGUUAAUCGGAAUUACUGGGCGUAAAGCGCGCGUAGGUGGUUCAGCAAGUUGGAUGUGAAAUCCCCGGGCUCAACCUGGGAACUGCAUCCAAAACUACUGAGCUAGAGUACGGUAGAGGGUGGUGGAAUUUCCUGUGUAGCGGUGAAAUGCGUAGAUAUAGGAAGGAACACCAGUGGCGAAGGCGACCACCUGGACUGAUACUGACACUGAGGUGCGAAAGCGUGGGGAG